RNAcentral lists this ribosomal RNA (524 nucleotides) under uncultured bacterium. RNAcentral's name for it is "partial 16S ribosomal RNA". It matches the Rfam family "Bacterial small subunit ribosomal RNA", at positions 28 to 523 of the family's 1533-position model. The record is from RNAcentral.
GACGAACGCUGGCGGCGUGCCUAAUACAUGCAAGUCGAACGAAGCUGUUUUAACUGGUGCUUGCACCGACUUAAACAACUGAGUGGCGAACGGGUGAGUAACACGUGGGUAACCUGCCCCAAAGCGGGGGAUAACAUUUGGAAACAGAUGCUAAUACCGCAUAACCACAGAAACCACAUGGUCUCUGUGUCAAAGAUGGUUUCGGCUAUCACUUUGGGAUGGACCCGCGGCGUAUUAGCUAGUUGGUAAGGUAAUGGCUUACCAAGGCAAUGAUACGUAGCCGAACUGAGAGGUUGAUCGGCCACAUUGGGACUGAGACACGGCCCAAACUCCUACGGGAGGCAGCAGUAGGGAAUCUUCCACAAUGGACGAAAGUCUGAUGGAGCAACGCCGCAUGAGUGAAGAAGGUUUUCGGAUCGUAAAACUCUGUUGUCAGAGAAGAACGUGUGCGAGAGUAACUGCUCGUGCAGUGACGGUAUCUGGCCAGAAAGCCACGGCUGACUACGUGCCAGCCGCCGCAGUAA